RNAcentral lists this long non-coding RNA (4651 nucleotides) under Capsicum annuum. RNAcentral's name for it is "long non-coding RNA (CANN_LNC003850)". The record is from RNAcentral. Lineage: Eukaryota; Viridiplantae; Streptophyta; Magnoliopsida; Solanales; Solanaceae.
UUUCAGGUUUCUCCUCUUCAAGUGAUGGUUUCUCUUCAAAUGAUAGUUCAUUAGGCGUUUCUUCCUGUGUUGGUUUUUCAUGUGCUUCUUCAGUUACUGGUUUUUCAGGUUUCUCCUUAGUUGUUGGUUCUUCGCUUGUCUCCUCAGCUGAUUGUUCUUCAAGCUUCUCUCCUGUUGUUGAUUUUUCUGGUUUCUCUUCAAUUAUCGGUGGUUCAGGUUUUUUCUCAACCGGUGAUUCUUCUGGUUUCUCCAAAACCAUUGAUUCUUCAUGUUUUUUUUCAACUACUGACUCUUCAGUGUUUUCCUCAACUGAUGCAUAGUCAGCAAUAUCGUUGUUGGUAUUGCUUGGAAUUGCAUUGUCUAUCUUGUCCUUUGAGUUUACUUUUGGCAUAUUCUGCAAUGAAGUUUCACGUAGUCUUUCAAUAGAUAAACAAAUGUAAAUUUGUUGCACAUAUAAAAGCUAAUAUGAUGGAUAAAAUUUGUGCCAGUGUUUAAUCCUCACCUUCUCCUGAAGAGCUUCCGCUUCAAGUUCCUCCUCUUCAAUUGCAGGUUUUUCAUCUUUCUCUCCAACAACUAGUUCUUCAGGUUUCUCUUCAAGUGCCAGUUCUUCAGGUGUUUCCUCCUUUGCCAGCUCUUCAGGUGUUUCCUCCUUUGCCAGCUCUUCAGGUGUUUCUUUAGCUGCCGGUUCUUCAGGUUUCUCUUCAACCUCCGGUUCUUGUGGUAUUUCCUCUACUUGUACUUCAGAUUUCUCCUCAAUUGUUGGUUCUUCAGGUUUCUCUCUAACCGCUGCUGCAUUAGGUUUCUCUUCAUUGGCUGGUUCUUCAGGUUUUUCUUCAACUACCGAUUCUUCAGGAUUUUCCUCAAUGUUUGGAAAGGGAGCGACAUCAUUAUUGGUAUUGCAUGGAAUUUCACUGCCAGUUUUGUCAUUCAAGUCCACAACUAGUAUAUUCUGCAAAAGAGUUUAAUGUUUCACUUAGUCUUUCAAUAAAGAAGCAGAUGCGAAUCAUUACAUAUACAUAACUAAUAACAUGGAUAAACUUUAUGACAGUAGUUGACCCUUACCUUUUCCACAAGAGUUACUUUUGCAGGUUUCUCCUCUUCAAGUGCUGGUUUCUCUUCAAAUGAUAGUUCAUUAGGUGUUUCUUCCCGUGUUGGUUCUUCAUGUGCUUCUUCAGUUACUGGUUUUUCAGGUUUCUCCUCAAUUGUUGGUUCUUCGCUUGUCUUCUCAACUGAUGGUUCCUCAUGCUUCUCUCCCGUUGUUGAUUUUUCGGGUUUCUCUUCAGUUGUCGAUGGUUCAGUUUUUUUCUCAACCGCUGGUUCUUUUGGCUUCUCCAAAACCAUUUCCGAUUUCUCUUCAGUUGGUGGUUCUUCAUGGUUUUUUUCAACUACUGGUUCUUCUCUUUUUUCCUCAACUGAUGCAUAGUCAGCAAUAUCGUUGUUGGUAUUGCUUGGAAUUGCAUUGUCUGUCUUGUCCUUUGAGCUUACAAUUGGCAUAUUCUGCUAGAAAAAUAUAAAGUUUCAUGUAGUCUUUCAACAGAGAAACCAAUGUAAAUUUGUUGCACAUAUAAAGCUAACAAAUAUGAUGGAUAGACUUUGCGAGAGUGUUUAAUACUCACCUUCUCCGGAAGAGCUUCCGUUUCAGGUUCCUCUUCAAUUUCUGCUUUUUCAUCUUUCUCUUCAACAACUAGUUCUUCAGGUGUCUCUUCAACCGUUGAUUCUUCAGGUUUCUCUUCAAGUGUUAGUUCUUGAGGUGUUUCCUCCUUUGCUAGCUCUUCAGGUGUUUCUGUAACUGCCGGUUCUUCAGGUUCCUCUUCAGCCACCGGCUGUUGACGUAUCUCCUCUACUUGUACUUCAGAUUUCUCCUCAAUUGUUGGUUCUUCAGGUUUCUCCUUAACCGCUGGUACAUCAGGUUUAUCCUCAUUGACUGGUUCUUCAACUGCUGAUUCUUCUAGAUUUUCCUCAAUGUCUGGAAAGCGAGCAACAUCAUUAUUGGUAUUGCAUGGAAUUUCAUUUCCAGUUUCGUUAUUCGAGUCUACAAUUAGCAUAUUCUGCAAAAAGAAUUUAAUGUUUCAUUUAGCCUUUCAAUAAAGAAGCAUAUGCGAAUAACAGUACAUGCAUAACUAACAAAAUGGAUAAACUUUGUGAUAGUGCUUGAUCCUUACCUUUGCCAAAAGAGUUACCUUUUCAGGUUUCUCCUCUUCAACGGUUGGUUCUUCAUGUUUCUUUUCAAAUGCUAGUUCCUUGGUUGUUUCUUCCGGUGUUGGUUCCAUAGGUGUUUCUUCAGUUACUUGUUUUUCGGGUUUCUCUUCAAUUAUUGGUUCUUCGAUUGUCUUCUCAACUGAUGGUUCUUCAAGAUUUUCUCCCACUGUUGGUUUUUGGGGUUUCUCUUCUAUUGUUGGUUGUUCAGGAAUUUUCUCAACUGGUGGUUCUGCUGGAUAUUCCAAAACCAUUGAUUCUUCAGAUUUCUCUUCAAUUGAUGGUUCUUCAUGGGUUUUUUCAACUACUGGUUCUUCAAUUUUUUCCUCAACAGAUGCAUAGUCAACAAUAUCAUUAUUGGUAUUGCUUGGAAUUGCAUCGUCUGUCAUGUCCUUUGAGUUUACUUUUGGCAUAUUCUGCAAUAGAGUUUCAUGUAAUCUUUCAACAGAUAAACAGAUGUAAAUUUGUUGCACAUAUAAAGCUAAUAUGGUGGAUAAACUUUGUGACAGUGUUUAAUCCUCACCUUCUCCUGAAGAUCUUCCGCUUCAAGUUCCUCCUCUACAAUUGCAGUUUUUUCCUCUUCCCCUUCAACAACUAGUUCUUCAGGUGCCUCUUCAGCCGUUGAUUCUUCAGGUUUCUCUUCAAGUGCUAGUUCUUCAGGUGUUUCCUCCUUUGCCAGCUCUUCAGGUGUUUCUUUAGAUGCCGAUUCUUCAGGUUUCUCUUCAGCCAUCGGUUCUUGAGGUAUUUCCUCUACUUGUACUUCAUAUUUCUCCUCAAUUGUUUGUUCUUCAGGUUUCUCUUCAGGUUUCUCCUUAACCACUGGUACAUCAGGUUUCUCUUGAUUAACUGGUUCUUUGGGUUUUUCUUCAACAGCCGAAUCUUCAGGAUUUUCCUCAAUGUCUUGAAAGCAAGCAAUAUCUUUAGUGGUAUUGCAUGGAAUUUCACUGCCAGUUUUGUUGUUCGAGUCUACAAUUAGCAUAUUCUGCAAAAGGAAUUUGAUGUUUCAUUUAGCCUUUUAAUAAAGAAGCAGAUGUGAAUAACAUUACAUGCAUAACUUACAAAAUGGAUAAAUUUUGUGACAGUCCUUGACCCUUACCUUUUCAGGUUUCUCCUCUUCAACAGCUGAUUCUUCAUGUUUCUCUUCAAAUGCUAGUUCUCUGGGUGUUUCUUCCCGUAGUGCUUCUUCAUGUGCUUCUUCAGUUACUGGUUUUUCAGGUUUCUCCUCAAUUGUUGGUUCUUUGAUUGUCUCCUCAACAGAUGGUUCUUCAAGCUUCUCUCCCGUUGUUGAUUUUUCUGGUUUCUCUUCAAUUGCUGGUUGUUCAGGAAUUUUCUCAACAGCUGGUUCUUCUGGCUUCUCUAAAACCAUUGAUUCUUCAGCUUUCUCUUCAAUUGAUGGUUCUUCAUGGUUUUUUUCAACUAUUGGUUCUUCAGUUUUUUCCUCAACGGAUGCAUAGUCAACAAUAUCAUUGUUGGUAUUGCUUGGAAUUGCAUCGUCUGUCAUGUCCUUUGAGUUUACUUUUGGCAUAUUCUACAAUAAAGUUUCAUGUAGUCUUUCAAUAGAUAAACAGAUGUAAAUUUGUUGCAACAUAUAAAGCUAAUAUGGUGGAUAAACUUUGUGACAGUGUUUAAUCCUCACCUUCUCCCGAAGAUCUUCCGCUUUAAGUUCCUCCUCUUCAAUUGCUGUUUUUUCAUCUUUCGUUUCAACAACUAGUUCUUCAGGUGCCUCUUCAGCCGUUGAUUCUUCAGGUUUUUCUUCAAGUGCCAGCUCUUCAGGUGUUUCCUCCUUUGCCAUCUCUUCAGGUGUUUCCUCCUUUGCCAGCUCUUCAGGUGUUUCUUUAGCUGCUGGUUCUUCAGGUUUCUCUUCAGCCGCCAGUUCUUGAGGUAUCUCCUUUUCUACUUCAGAUUUCUCCUCAACUGUUGGUUCUUCAGGUUUCUCUUCAUUAACUGGUUCUUUGGGUUUUUCUUCAACAGCCGAAUCUUCAGGAUUUUCCUCAAUGUCUGGAAAGUGAGCAACAUCUUUAUUGGUAUUGCAUGCAAUUUCACUGUCAGUUUUGUCGUUCAAGUCUACAAUUAGCAUAUUCUGCAAAAAGAAUUUGAUGUUUCAUUUAGCCUAUUAAUAAAGAAGCAGAUGUGAAUAACAUUACAUGCAUAACUUACAAAAUGGAUAAACUUUGUGAUGGUCCUUGACCCUUACCUUUCCAGGCUUCUCCUCUUCAACGGCCAGUUCUUGUUUCUCUUCAAAUGCUAGUUCCCUGGGUGUUUCUUCCUGUAUUGGUUCUUCAUGUGCUUCUUCAGGUACUGGUUUUUCAGGUUUCUCCUCAAUUGUUGGUUCUUCGAUUGUCUCCUCAACAGAUGGUUCUUCAAGGUUCUCUCCCGUUGUUGAGUCUUCUGGUUUCUCUUCAAUUGCUGGUUGUUCAGAAAUUUUCUCAACAGCUGGUUCUUCUGGCUUCUCCAA